UGGGGAAUAUUGCGCAAUGGGGGCAACCCUGACGCAGCAACGCCGCGUGAAGGAUGAAGGUUUUCGGAUUGUAAACUUCUUUUGUCAAGGACGAAGAAAGUGACGGUACUUGACGAAUAAGCCACGGCUAACUACGUGCCAGCAGCCGCGGUAAUACGUAGGUGGCAAGCGUUGUCCGGAUUUACUGGGUGUAAAGGGCGAGUAGGCGGGUCUGCAAGUCAGAUGUGAAAUACCGGGGCUUAACUCCGGGGCUGCAUUUGAAACUGUAGAUCUUGAGUGAUGGAGAGGCAGGCGGAAUUCCCGGUGUAGCGAUGGAAUGCGUAGAUAUCGGGAGGAACACCAGUGGCGAAGGCGGCCUGCUGGACAUUAACUGACGCUGAGGAGCGAAAGCGUGGGGAGCAAACAGGAUUAGAUACC
This 417-nucleotide ribosomal RNA is filed under the name uncultured bacterium. RNAcentral's name for it is "bacterial SSU rRNA". It matches the Rfam family "Bacterial small subunit ribosomal RNA", at positions 355 to 786 of the family's 1533-position model. The record is from RNAcentral.